Molecule: ribosomal RNA, 253 nt
Filed under: uncultured bacterium
Lineage: Bacteria
Description: partial 16S ribosomal RNA
Rfam family: Bacterial small subunit ribosomal RNA
Source: RNAcentral
UACGUAGGGGGCAAGCGUUGUCCGGAAUCAUUGGGCGUAAAGCGCGUGUAGGCGGCUUGGUAAGUCCGCUCUGAAAGCCCGGGGCUCAACCCCGGGAGGCGGGUGGAUACUGUCAAGCUCGAGUCCGGAAGAGGCGAGUGGAAUUCCUGGUGUAGCGGUGAAAUGCGCAGAUAUCAGGAGGAACACCAAUGGCGAAGGCAGCUCGCUGGGACGUGACUGACGCUGAUGCGCGAAAGCCAGGGGAGCGAACGGG